This 1751-nucleotide ribosomal RNA is filed under the name marine metagenome. Its description in RNAcentral is "bacterial LSU rRNA". It matches the Rfam family "Bacterial large subunit ribosomal RNA", at positions 1086 to 2925 of the family's 2925-position model. The record is from RNAcentral.
CAGACAGCUAGGAGGUUGGCUUAGAAGCAGCCAUUCCUUUAAAGAAAGCGUAACAGCUCACUAGUCAAGGUGAUUUGCGCCGAUAAUAACCGGGACUAAAGUAAAAUACCGAAGCUUAGGACUUCUUUUGAAGUGGUAGGAGAGCGUUCCAUUAACUGUCGAAGGUUUACUCGUGAGAGGAGCUGGAGGAAAUGGAAAUGAGGAUGCUGGCAUGAGUAGCGAUAAAAUACGUUAAAUUCGUAUUCACCGAAAGCCUAAGGUUUCCUGAUCAAUGCAAAUCAGAUCAGGGUUAGUCGGCCCCUAAGGCGAGGCCGAAAGGCGUAGUCGAUGGGAAUCAGGCAAAUUUAUAAUAUUCCUGAACCUCCGAACCUUAAACUAGAAAAUCCAUGAUCCAGAUCUAUUUAGCUUAUUGAUUUGUUAAAUAGAAGUAAGUUGUGGCAAGAAAAAGUCUAGUGUAUGCUAAGGAGACCGUACCGUAAACCGACACAGGUAGGCGAGAUGAGAAUUCUAAGGUGCUUGAGAGAAUUGUGGUCAAGGAACUCGGCAAAUUGACCCCGUAACUUCGGGAGAAGGGGUGCCAACUUCGGUUGGCCGCAGAGAAAUGAGGGUAGCGACUGUUUACUAAAAACAUAGGUCUAUGCUAACACGUAAGUGGAAAUAUAUGGACUGACACCUGCCCGGUGCUGGAAGGUUAAGAUACUUUGUCAUUCAGACUUGUCUGAAGAAGCUCGGUGUUGAAGCCCCAGUAAACGGCGGCCGUAACUAUAACGGUCCUAAGGUAGCGAAAUUCCUUGUCGGGUAAGUUCCGACCUGCACGAAUGGUGUAACGACUUCCCUACUGUCUCGACCAGAAACUCAGUGAAAUUGUAAUGUCGGUGAAGAUGCCGGCUACCCGUAGAAGGACGGAAAGACCCCGUGAACCUUUACUACAGCUUGAUAUUGGCUUUAGAUUCUAUAUGUGUAGGAUAGGUGGGAGACUUUGAAGCGGGCACGCUAGUGUUCGUGGAGUCAACCUUGAAAUACCACCCUUAUAUCAUUUGAAGUCUAACUGUAUACCUUGAAUCAGGUAUCAGGACAGUGUCUGGUGGGUAGUUUGACUGGGGCGGUCUCCUCCUAAAAAGUAACGGAGGAGCUCAAAGGUUCCCUCAGCACGGUCGGUAAUCGUGCGUAGAGUGCAAACGCAUAAGGGAGCUUAACUGCAAGACAGACAUGUCGAGCAGAUGCGAAAGCAGGAGUUAGUGAUCCGGCGAUUCCGAGUGGAAGGGUCGUCGCUAAUCGGAUAAAAGGUACUCCGGGGAUAACAGGCUUAUAACCGCCAAGAGCUCAUAUCGACGCGGUUGUUUGGCACCUCGAUGUCGGCUCGUCUCAUCCUGGGGCUGGAGAAGGUCCCAAGGGUUGGGCUGUUCGCCCAUUAAAGAGGCACGCGAGCUGGGUUUAGAACGUCGUGAGACAGUUCGGUCCCUAUCCUCUACGGGCGUAGGAAAUUUGAGAGAAGCUGCUUCUAGUACGAGAGGACCGAAGUGGACAAACCUCUAGUGUACCUGUUGUCACAUCAGUGGCAUCGCAGGGUAGCUACGUUUGGUCGAGAUAAGCGCUGAAAGCAUCUAAGCGCGAAGCUCAUCUCAAGAUAAGAUUUCCCUACUCUUUUGAGUCUAAAAACCUCCAGAAGACUACUGGAUUGAUAGGUCACAGAUGUAAGUGCAGUAAUGUAUUUAGUCGAGUGAUACUAAUUGGUUGUGAGACUUGAACAA